UUUUGUGAUUAUAAUAAUAAUAUUAAAGCAAACAUAACUAAGGAUCAGUCCGUAAAUAGGCACUUGAAGGACCUGAUCCUUAGCUGAUCCUUAGUGCAGGUGGCAUGUUGCUAUUGGUGGAGAGAGUAUUGGUCUGAUGAAAGGAACAAAGCCGAACUCGAUGUCGAGGAGAUGAAGAUCGUCUGGGUUCUCGCCACGCUUUUGAGUUUCCGAUCGAAUCGUCCGCCUCGUCGCCUCCGAUCCGGUGAGUCUUCUUCUCCAUCAUCCGGUGUGGAUAUGUUGCCUCCGAUCCGAGGAAGAAGCAGGAGUGAUUGAGUAUAAUACUUUGUUAAACUCACUAAAGACUCGACGAGAUUCUUUGGGUUCAAAGCUGAGUGAGCUAUUGGAAGCUAAGGAGGAACUGAAAGAGGAGAAACUGAAGGCGAAGGAAGAAGCGGAAGACCUUACUCAAGAAAUGGCUGAACUAAGGUACAAGAUGACAUGUUUGCUCGACGAGGAACGCAAACGCCGUGUGUGCAUAGAGCAAGCGUCAUUACAGAGAAUUGCAGAACUAGAAGCACAGGCAUAUGCAAUAUUUUGGCCUUGUUUCUUUUUUUUCUUUUUUUAACUGUUCUUUAUUUAUCCUCUGUUGUUAAAGAUUAAGUUUGGCAAAGAGAAAACAAGUUUGGCAAAGAGAGUGUGUAUGUGUAUAUACUCUUUGUUCGUUUUGAUAAAGAGAAAACAAGU
This is an RNA transcript of Raphanus sativus (radish), 726 nucleotides long. RefSeq lists it as uncharacterized. The transcript has 3 exons. The record is from RefSeq and is a predicted model, not a curated record. NCBI's taxonomy places the organism in Eukaryota, Viridiplantae, Streptophyta, Magnoliopsida, Brassicales, Brassicaceae.